GGGCUUGGGUGGAGGGCGGGACAGAGGGGUUGGGCCCAGGAGAAUCUUCUUUUGCGGCUGCUGCGGAGGUCUAGGCUGGGACGUGGGCCGGGUCGGGGAGUGCUGGACGCGGAGGACCAGGAGGCGAGAUCCGCCGGAGCUGUGAACCCCUGUCUCUUUGCCGUGCAGUGACCCCGCACCCAGGCGCUGUCCGACCCGCGGCUGUUCGCUAGGCAGUUGGUGGGGGCGCGGCAGCGGCGGUUGGGGGUGGGGAGACGCGCGGCGAGGAGACGGGAGAGGUCAGCGAGUUUGAGGGAGGAUCGAGAGCCGCUGCCGCCGUCAUGACUGAGGACUCGAGCGCCCUGCCCUGGUCCAUCAACAGGGACGAUUAUGAGCUGCAGGAGGUGAUCGGGAGUGGAGCAACUGCUGUGGUCCAAGCAGCUUAUUGUGCCCCUAAAAAGGAGAAAGUGGCAAUCAAACGGAUAAACCUUGAAAAAUGUCAGACUAGCAUGGAUGAACUGCUGAAAGAAAUUCAAGCCAUGAGUCAAUGCCAUCAUCCUAAUAUUGUGUCUUACUACACAUCUUUUGUGGUAAAAGAUGAGCUGUGGCUAGUCAUGAAGCUGCUAAGUGGAGGUUCUGUUUUGGAUAUUAUUAAGCAUAUUGUAGCAAAGGGGGAACACAAAAGUGGAGUCCUGGAUGAACCUACCAUUGCUACCAUCCUUCGAGAAGUAUUAGAAGGGUUGGAAUACCUGCAUAAAAAUGGGCAGAUUCACAGAGAUGUGAAAGCUGGAAAUAUUCUUCUUGGAGAGGAUGGCUCGGUACAGAUUGCAGACUUUGGGGUUAGUGCUUUUCUAGCAACUGGAGGUGAUAUUACCCGAAAUAAAGUGAGAAAGACCUUUGUUGGCACCCCUUGCUGGAUGGCACCUGAAGUUAUGGAACAGGUCCGAGGUUAUGAUUUCAAAGCUGAUAUCUGGAGUUUUGGAAUUACUGCAAUUGAACUAGCCACAGGGGCAGCUCCUUAUCAUAAGUAUCCACCAAUGAAGGUUUUAAUGCUAACACUGCAGAAUGAUCCUCCUUCUUUGGAAACUGGUGUUCAAGAUAAAGAAAUGCUGAAAAAAUAUGGAAAAUCAUUUAGAAAAAUGAUUUCAUUGUGCCUUCAAAAGGAUCCAGAAAAAAGACCAACAGCAGCAGAGCUAUUAAGGCACAAAUUUUUCCAGAAAGCUAAGAAUAAAGAAUUUCUUCAAGAGAAAAUAUUGCAGAGAGCACCUACCAUUUCUGAAAGAGCUAAAAAGGUUCGGAGAGUACCAGGUUCCAGUGGUCGUCUUCAUAAAACAGAGGAUGGAGGCUGGGAAUGGAGUGAUGAUGAAUUUGAUGAAGAAAGUGAGGAAGGAAAAGCGGCAAUUUCACAACUCAGGUCUCCUCGAGUGAAAGAAUCAUUAACAAAUUCUGAGCUCUUUUCCACAACUGAUCCCAUGGGUACUUUGCUCCAAGUUCCAGAACAGAUUUCUGCUCAUCUACCUCAACCAUCUGGACAGAUGCCUACACAGCCAACUCAAGUCUCUCUCCCACCACCUGCAGAGCCAGCGAAAACAGCUCAGGCUCUGUCUUCAGGUUCACAAGAAACCAAGAUCCCAAUCAGUCUAGUACUGAGAUUAAGGAAUUCCAAAAAAGAACUAAAUGAUAUUCGAUUUGAAUUUACUCCUGGGAGAGAUACAGCGGAGGGUGUCUCUCAGGAACUCAUUUCUGCUGGCCUGGUCGAUGGAAGGGAUUUAGUAAUAGUGGCAGCUAAUUUGCAGAAAAUUGUGGAAGAACCUCAGUCAAAUCGAUCUGUCACUUUCAAGCUGGCAUCUGGUGUUGAAGGCUCAGAUAUUCCUGAUGAUGGCAAACUAAUAGGAUUUGCCCAGCUCAGCAUCAGCUAAAACACAGCCCUGGAAGAGGCGGCCUAAGGAGAUUCCACACAUGCGUAUCUCUGUUGCUUCUAUUGGCCUAAACCCACUACUGCCAAAGAACCCAGCAAAGAACCUCCCGGCUAGGAGCUUUAGAAUUCUUUCUUUAUGUUCUUCUUGCCAUCAUUCCCCUUUUUCCCACAGGGAAAGUAAAGUUGGAUCACCAGUGGCCAGCAUCCCCUCAAAGAGUUCCGUUAGUAAAUGUGCUGCACAUGUCCCCUUUCUUCCGCCAUCUGAGAAGUGGCCCGUGUGCCUCAAGGCCAGGAGGGAGAUCGCUCAGCUCAUUCUUGCCUUACUCCAGUAAUGGCCCAGGUGGAAAGUAGCAGCUACGUUGGGCAUCUCGUCCUGCCACACCUGCCAGGAGUUCAUUGUUUGCCUUGCUGGGAAUUAGGAGACAAACACCAAGUCCCAUGACAGUGUUAUUUCUUCUUCUGCAUGAUGUGUGGUGAAUUCCCUCUGCCGGCUUGUGCAGUGAUGCUGAGAGAACAGGUGAACAGAAACUGCCCAGUUGAGAUAGCAUGUGUCCUAGGGAGCCUCCUCACUCCUUUCCAGUAGUAGUGAUUCAGGGUGCACCUCUGUUACUAGGUCCCCAGAAUACCCCUGUCCCUGGAGUAGGGACUAACUAUAGCACAAGGUAAUAUGUGCCAAUGCUAUUUGUGAAACAUAUGGUCUUUCUAAAUUACGAAUGGAUUUGUUUGGGUUUUUUGCUUAAGUUUUAAACCAAAUCCUAGAGCCAGCCUGAUACUAUUUAAUAAUCUUGAGGAUAGAAUAAUGAUGUAUCAAUAAGUGGAGGUUCCUUCUUAUGACAUGAUGCUAGAUUAUGAAAGAUGUAAAAUAUUCAACUUUCCCCCCUUUUUUUGACUUUGUAUUUUACUGCAUGUUUUCUUCAUUUUUAAUCAAUAAAAAGUAAAUUGUCCUUA
RNA transcript from Sciurus carolinensis (gray squirrel), 2845 nucleotides. It is a transcript of the gene named oxidative stress responsive kinase 1, with no coding region annotated. The transcript has 19 exons. Lineage: Eukaryota; Metazoa; Chordata; Mammalia; Rodentia; Sciuridae. The record is from RefSeq and is a predicted model, not a curated record.